UUCCGGUUGAUCCUGCCGGAGGCCACUGCUAUCGGGGUCCGACUAAGCCAUGCGAGUCAAGGGGCUCCCUUCGGGGAGCACCGGCGCACGGCUCAGUAACACGUGGCUAACCUACCCUCGGGUGGGGGAUAACCUCGGGAAACUGAGGCUAAUCCCCCAUAGGGGAGGAGGUCUGGAAUGAUCCCUCCCCGAAAGGCGUAAGCCGCCCGAGGAUGGGGCUGCGGCGGAUUAGGUAGUUGGUGGGGUAACGGCCCACCAAGCCUACGAUCCGUACGGGCCCUGAGAGGGGGAGCCCGGAGAUGGACACUGAGACACGGGUCCAGGCCCUACGGGGCGCAGCAGGCGCGAAACCUCCGCAAUGCGCGAAAGCGCGACGGGGGGACCCCGAGUGCCCACGCUCUGCGUGGGCUUUUCCGGAGUGUAAACAGCUCCGGGAAUAAGGGCUGGGCAAGUCCGGUGCCAGCAGCCGCGGUAAUACCGGCGGCCCAAGUGGUGGCCACUGUUAUUGGGCCUAAAGCGUCCGUAGCCGGCCCGGUAAGUCUCUGCUUAAAUCCUGCGGCUCAACCGCAGGGCUGGCAGAGAUACUGCCGGGCUUGGGACCGGGAGAGGCCGGGGGUACCCCAGGGGUAGCGGUGAAAUGCGUUGAUCCCUGGGGGACCACCUGUGGCGAAGGCGCCCGGCUGGAACGGGUCCGACGGUGAGGGACGAAGGCCAGGGGAGCAAACCGGAUUAGAUACCCGGGUAGUCCUGGCUGUAAACUCUGCGGACUAGUGUCGCGUCGGCUUCGGGCCGACGCGGUGCCGAAGGGAAGCCGUUAAGUCCGCCGCCUGGGGAGUACGGUCGCAAGACUGAAACUUAAAGGAAUUGGCGGGGGAGCACUACAACGGGUGGAGCCUGCGGUUUAAUUGGAUUCAACGCCGGGCAUCUUACCAGGGGCGACGGCAGGAUGAAGGCCAGGUUGACGACCUUGCCAGACGCGCCGAGAGGUGGUGCAUGGCCGUCGUCAGCUCGUACCGUGAGGCGUCCUGUUAGGUGAGAUAACGAACGAGACCCUCGCCCCUAUUUGCUACCCUUCUCUUCGGAGAUGGGGCACUAUAGGGGGACCGCUGGCGCUAAGUCAGAGGAAGGAGAGGUCAACGGUAGGUCAGUAUGCCCCGAAUCUCCUGGGCUACACGCGCGCUACAAAGGGCGGGACAAUGGGCUGCGACGCCGAGAGGCGAAGCCAAUCCCGAAACCCGUUCGUAGUCCGGACUGAGGGUUGUAACUCACCCUCACGAAGCUGGAUUCCGUAGUAAUCGCGGAUCAACAUCCCGCGGUGAAUGUGCCCCUGCUCUUUGCACACACCGCCCGUCAAACCA
This 1358-nucleotide ribosomal RNA is filed under the name uncultured archaeon. Its description in RNAcentral is "bacterial SSU rRNA". It matches the Rfam family "Archaeal small subunit ribosomal RNA". The record is from RNAcentral.